GUUCACCCAUUUUGAUUCUGAUUCCUCAUUCCAUGACUCCAUGACUCCAUGACUCCAAUCUAUUUUGAUCAUGUGCCACAAUAAAAUUUGACAUUUUGACUGGAAACUCAAAUCUUUGUGGAAUGACCUGAGAUUGAAUCCCACCUUCCUCUCUGCUGCAAACACCAAUCCAAAGGAAUGUAUAGAGAAAAAAAAAAAAAGAUAUCUUCAUAAAUCUUCAACAUCACUCCAGAUUGCAAAAGGCCACUUUUUGAUAAACUUAUUUGCAAAAGAGAGAGAGAGAGAGUGGAAACCUGCAACCUCUUGUCCGUCGACUAAGCAGGGGAAGAUGAGAGGAAGUUGACGAAUCAGAGUGGCAUUUGAAUUCGAUUUGGUGGGUUUUCUACACAAGCAGUGUUGGAAGCCAUUUCACAUGGCAAAAUAGUUAUAGCCUAUCUAGUUUGCGACUGUGGAUUCGGUACUAGAACUAUUUUUUCUUAGUUGGUAAAUGGUGAAAUUCUCGUCGUUUAAUGGCAGCCUCAAUCUAAACAACUGUUUAAUCUCCUUUCUAGACCGAUGCAAAUCAAUGUUAGAAUUGAGGCAAAUCCAUGCUUUAAUCAUAACUUUUGGCCUCUCAGAAGAUGAUUUUUUCAUGUCGAGGGUCCUUUCUUUCUCUGCUGUAUCUGAUUCUGGUGACAUCCAUUACUCCAAUCAGGUCUUUCGUCACCUCUCCAAUCCAACCAUCUUCAAUUGGAAUACCAUUAUAAGGGGUUACUCAAGAAGCAAGAAUCCAAAUGGGUCUAUCUCUAUUUUUAUUGAAAUGUUGAGGGCUGGAGUUUCACCUGAUCAUCUUACUUUUCCCUUUCUAGCAAAGUCAUCAGCCCGUUUGUCAUCAUUGCAGCAUGGUGUGGCAGUGCAUAAUUGUAUUGCUAAGACUGGGUUUGAGUUUGACCGAUUUGUUCGGAAUUCUUUGAUUCAUAUGUAUGCUGCCUGUGGGCAAAUAAUUUCUGCCCGGAAGUUGUUUGAUGAAAUGCCACAAAAGAACUUGGUCUCAUGGAAUGCCAUGGUUGAUGGAUAUGCAAAGUGUGGUGAUUUGGUUGCUGCCCGGCAAACCUUUGAAUUGAUGUCUGAACGGGAUGUUGUGUCUUGGAGCUCUUUGAUUGAUGGGUAUGUCAAGAGCGGGGACCAUAGGGAGGCCUUAAGUCUCUUUGAAAGAAUGCAGCGUCUAGGAACAAAAGCCAAUGAAGUUACAAUGGUGAGCGUGUUGUGUGCUUGUGCCCAUUUAGGUGCUCUCGAACAGGGGAGAAUGAUGCACCAUUAUGUGAAUGAUAGUGCAAUGCCUUUGAGUCUGGCUCUACGGACUUCCCUGGUGGACAUGUAUGCAAAGUGUGGUGCCAUUGAUGAGGCUCUGGCAGUUUUCCAUGGGGUACCAAUGGAGCAGACUGAUGUAUUAAUUUGGAAUGCGAUGAUUGGAGGACUUGCUACUCAUGGAUUGGUUAAAGAGUCGUUGGAAUUGUUUAAAGUGAUGCAGGCUUGGGGGAUCUCCCCAGAUGAGAUCACUUAUCUAUGCUUAUUGAGUGCAUGCGCCCAUGGAGGGCUAGUGGGGGAAGCUUGGAACUUCUUCAAUUUACUUAAUACUCAUGGCAUGACACCUAAGUGUGAACAUUAUGCUUGCAUGGUCGAUGUUCUUGGGCGUGCAGGUCGGUUAGAUAAGGCAUUCCAGUUUUUAGAUAAAAUGCCCGUGGAACCCAGUGCUUCCACUUUGGGUGCUCUACUUAGUGGAUGUAGGAUGCAUGGAAGGUUAGAUCUUGCGGAAGAAGUUGGAAGGAAGCUCAUUGAAUUGGAGCCAGAUCAUGAUGGUCGAUAUAUUGGUUUGUCAAAUGUCUAUGCGGUUGCCAGGCGAUGGAAUGAUGCUAGAACAUUGAGAGAAGCCAUGGAGAAGAGGGGUGUUAAGAAGUUCCCAGGAUGUAGCUUUGUUGAGGUUGGGAGGACUCUUCAUAAGUUCAUUGCUCAUGAUAAAGCACAUCCUCAAUUAGUAGAAAUAUAUUUGAUGUUGAAUAAUAUAGCUGAACUGAUGAAAUUGGAUGGUGGUAAUGAAACUCAAGACAAUGAUACUUACGAAAUUGGAGAAGAUGGAUGAGUUGCAUGGUUUCCUAGUUUCUGAUUUUAGCCUUUGUGCUGAGCAAGAAAGAGAGAAAUGGAAAGAUGUCUUAUCUUCUGCCUCACUUACACUCGGGCUGGGCCAUCGAUCAGGCCGGCCUCGCUGAGACAUGGCCUGCAUGCAGAUCCUACCAACAAGGAAGCGUUCCUCAGUUGAGACAUAGGGGACAGGCACUGAUUUCACACAAACAAAUAUCAGUACCUCAUGAAAUGUUGGGAAAUUGGUGAUGAAGUGAGUGAAAAUGGCAGGGACACCAGUGGCCAAAUCAGAAUAGACAAGACCAAUUCCAGGUACUCGAGCAAGCCCAAGGCAACCGCUAAGAUUCAGUAACCAAUUCAUUGAGACCUUGUUGUGUAGCUCAAAUUCAUACUUUUGGCGAGUUCCAUAGUGCCAGACAUACAUGAUGGCCAUGAAGAUGGUUGAGAGCACAAGAGGAACCCAUCCUCCUUGGGACACUUUAAUGAAUGCUGAUGAUAAGUAGAUCCCUUCGAUGAACCAGAAGAAGAGGAGAAAAGCUGCAGCUAAUAUGAUGCUUCUUUUCCAGACGAAGAUUAUUACCAAUGCCAUUAGAAAUGUUGUAAUGAACAUUACUGACAUGCAAGCAAUCCCUGCAUGUAAAACCGUCCAAAUAAAAUAAGAAUGUGCUAUCAAGGAUUCUUAAUUCCUCUUCCAUGCAUGCCCUGAAAUUUAUGUGCAGAUAGACAUGUUCAUAGAUCAAAGUCCAAACCCAUAUCAUGUCAUUGUAAGCUUGAAAUACUAGUAACUGAGAGAAUAAGAAUAGACAUACCAUAAGCAUUUCCAAUCAAAGUUGUGUCCUUGAAUCCAAUGGUUAUAGCAAGACAAAGGAUCAUGAGAAUCCAAUUUAUUUCUGGGAUAUAGAUUUGACCAUAUAUAUGUCUUGACGUAUGAAUAAUCUUGAUCCGUGGAAAGCAUCCAAGAGCAUGGCAUUGUUUGAUAAUGGAGAAGGUAGCUGUGAUGACUGCCUGACUCCCAACAAUGGCUGCAAGCGUUGCAAUCACGAACAUGGGCCAGUAUAUUCUAUCUA
This is an RNA transcript of Macadamia integrifolia, 3185 nucleotides long. It is a transcript of the gene named pentatricopeptide repeat-containing protein At5g08305, with no coding region annotated. The record is from RefSeq and is a predicted model, not a curated record. Lineage: Eukaryota; Viridiplantae; Streptophyta; Magnoliopsida; Proteales; Proteaceae. The transcript has 2 exons.